CAGGUAAGUUAAUACUUGUACAUGUACUAUACCAUUGGUAAUAUCUGGUUAUAAAUGUUGUUCACUUAUGUUUAAUUAGUUAAUUUUGAUUCAUAUUGUUCUGGAACUUCGUUGUAACAUGAUGGACAUAUUGCACAUUAAAACUAAGCUGAGGAGUCAAUUCUUUAAUCAGCGACGAUCAUACAUAUAGGAAGGUCAGUGUCCUAAA
RNAcentral lists this long non-coding RNA (208 nucleotides) under Mytilus galloprovincialis (Mediterranean mussel). Lineage: Eukaryota; Metazoa; Mollusca; Bivalvia; Mytilida; Mytilidae. The record is from RNAcentral.